This 513-nucleotide ribosomal RNA is filed under the name uncultured bacterium. RNAcentral describes it as "partial 16S ribosomal RNA". It matches the Rfam family "Bacterial small subunit ribosomal RNA", at positions 28 to 507 of the family's 1533-position model. The record is from RNAcentral.
GACGAACGCUGGCGGCGUGCUUAACACAUGCAAGUCGAACGAGAGCGUAGAGAAAGCUUGCUUUUUCUACAAUCUAGUGGCAAACGGGUGAGUAACGCGUAAACAACCUGCCCUACGGAUGGGGACAACAGCUGGAAACGGCUGCUAAUACCGAAUACGUUCCGAAAGUCGCAUGACUAUCGGAAGAAAGGAUGGCCUCUAUUUAUAAGCUAUCGCCGGAGGAGGGGUUUGCGUCUGAUUAGCUAGUUGGAGGGGUAACGGCCCACCAAGGCGAGGAUCAGUAGACGGUCUGAGAGGAUGAACGGCCACAGUGGAACUGAGACACGGUCCAGACUCCUACGGGAGGCAGCAGUGGGGAAUCUUCCGCAAUGGGCGAAAGCCUGACGGAGCAACGCCGCGUGAGUGAAGACGGCCUUCGGGUUGUAAAGCUCUGUUAUACGGGACGAAUAAUCUUGUGGUUAAUACCCAUGAGAAGUGACGGUACCGUAAGAGAAAGCCACGGCUAACUACGUG